This is a long non-coding RNA of Saccostrea cuccullata (small rock oyster), 426 nucleotides long. RefSeq lists it as uncharacterized. The transcript has 4 exons. NCBI's taxonomy places the organism in Eukaryota, Metazoa, Mollusca, Bivalvia, Ostreida, Ostreidae. The record is from RefSeq and is a predicted model, not a curated record.
GGUGUGGCACGAAAUAACUUUACACCGUCCUGUAUCAUCCUCUCGCGAGACCUCAUCGAGAAGCGCAAAAUAGGAGUUCAAGGAGCGGCAAUGUUUAGAGAGACUGGUGAAAUGUAAUGAAAUGCUCAACUUACGCCCAAGAUUGACUCUAAUUCUUCACAUAAACCAUGUUCUCUUUCCCAAAAAUCUUGGUUUCGCUAGGAGUGCAGUAAAGGGAAUGUUGGAAGAAGUGUAGAUAUCAUGGCCACAGGCCAGUGGGCUAGAACCUUGAAGCCUGGCAAGGAUUAUGAGACUGGAAACUCCCAUUGAGACUACCAAAUGAAGAGAAAGUUUCAGACUGUUUAACUCGGACUAAGGGAAAAGAAGCAAAUUACAACAAGGAGAAUAUUGCUGAGAAAGCAAAGACAAGUGAAAAGUCGAGUGAAG